RNAcentral lists this ribosomal RNA (369 nucleotides) under Triticum aestivum (bread wheat). RNAcentral describes it as "partial small subunit ribosomal RNA". The record is from RNAcentral. Lineage: Eukaryota; Viridiplantae; Streptophyta; Magnoliopsida; Poales; Poaceae.
AUGAGGAAUCGCAUCCGACAUAAUUAUCCAUCACUGAUCCAUUGCCUACGAGCUUUUCACGUAUUAUGCUUCGCUUAUUUACUUUUCCGUUGCUCUUGUUACAGUUACUACAAAACCCCAAAAUAUUACUUUUGCCACUGUUACCUUUAUUAUCAUACUACUUUGCUACUAAAUACUUUGCUGCAGAUACUACGUUAUCCAGGUGUGGUUGAAUUGACAACUCAACUGCUAAUACUCAAUAAUAUUCUUUGGCUCCCCUUGUGUCGAAUCAAUAAAUUUGGGUUGAAUACUCUACCUUCAAAAGCUGUUAUGAUCCCCUACACUUGUUUAUUUAACCUAGAGCCCAUACUACUUUGUCUCCUUUCUUGA